AGAGAGAGACAUGCGCGCAUAUCAAUAAGCGGAGGAAAAGAAACUAACUAGGAUUCCCUCAGUAACGGCGAGUGAAGCGGGAAGAGCUCAAAUUUGAAAUCUUCAAGGUUCUACCUUGACGAAUUGUAGUUUAAAGAAGUGUUUUCUGUUGGAGUUUUGGUAAAAGUUCUUUGGAAUAGGACAUCAUAGAGGGUGAGAAUCCCGUAUUUGACCAUUAUUUCCAGCUUUGUGAUACACUUUCAAAGAGUCGGAUUGUUUGGGAAUGCAGUCCAAAAUGGGUGGUAAAUUUCAUCUAAAGCUAAAUACUGGCGAGAGACCGAUAGCGAACAAGUACCGUGAGGGAAAGAUGAAAAGAACUUUGAAAAGAGAGUUAAACAGUACGUGAAAUUGUCAAAAGGGAAGCGUUUGACACCAGGGUUGUUUUCUCGAAAAUCAAUUAAAAAAGGCAGGAUUUUAUGUUGUAUUGACUUUAUCAGCUUUCUGCACUCUUUUCUUGUCUUUUUUAAUGCACUUUUCGUUUAACAAGUCAACAUCAAUUUCUUUUGUUGUAAAAGGGUCAUUGGAAGGUGGCUUUCUUUUCGGAGAAAGUGUUUAUAGCCUUUGGCCUCUGCAAUCGGAGAGAUUGAGGUCUGCAGCGUAGAUCCUUCGGGGUUAGAUACAUUUGUGCUAAGUUAUAGCCUUUCAUAGACAACUUGUUGACUAUGAUCAGUCAUGUAGCUUACUCGCUUAUGCUAUUUUACCUACGCUUAGGAUGUUGAUGUGAUACUGCGAGCA
This 774-nucleotide ribosomal RNA is filed under the name uncultured Neocallimastigales. RNAcentral's name for it is "partial large subunit ribosomal RNA". It matches the Rfam family "Eukaryotic large subunit ribosomal RNA", at positions 23 to 627 of the family's 3401-position model. Lineage: Eukaryota; Fungi; Neocallimastigomycota; Neocallimastigomycetes; Neocallimastigales. The record is from RNAcentral.